GACGAACGCUGGCGGCGUGCUUAACACAUGCAAGUCGAACGGAAAGGCCCUGCUUGCAGGGUACUCGAGUGGCGAACGGGUGAGUAACACGUGGGUGAUCUGCCCUGCACUUCGGGAUAAGCCUGGGAAACUGGGUCUAAUACCGGAUAGGAGCCAUUUUUAGUGUGAUGGUUGGAAAGUUUUUUCGGUGUAGGAUGAGCUCGCGGCCUAUCAGCUUGUUGGUGGGGUAAUGGCCUACCAAGGCGGCGACGGGUAGCCGGCCUGAGAGGGUGGACGGCCACAUUGGGACUGAGAUACGGCCCAGACUCCUACGGGAGGCAGCAGUGGGGAAUAUUGCACAAUGGGCGCAAGCCUGAUGCAGCGACGCCGCGUGGGGGAUGACGGCCUUCGGGUUGAAAACUCCUUGCGCUAGGGACGAAGCUUUUUGUGACGGUACCUAGAUAAGAAGCACCGGCUAACUACGUG
RNAcentral lists this ribosomal RNA (465 nucleotides) under uncultured bacterium. Its description in RNAcentral is "partial 16S ribosomal RNA". It matches the Rfam family "Bacterial small subunit ribosomal RNA", at positions 28 to 507 of the family's 1533-position model. The record is from RNAcentral.